CUUGACCUUAGGAGAAAGAAAUCUACCAUAAUUUUGUCAGACUAAGUCAGGGAGCAUGGAUCAUCUGUGAGCAUGUCUACAAGGAGGACAAAGCGGGUAGUACUAUGGGGUCUCUUGCAUGUACCAUGCACACUAUAGUCUAUGUGAAUGCUGCUCCCCGGAAUCAUCAAGAUUUUUUUCAGAUACCAAUUUUAUAAUGAGUGAGAAUGAUAACGAGGGACAGAACUACCAGGAGGAAGGCAUGUGAAGACUUUGUAUAUAGAGUCAAUAAGAAGAUUUUAAACACGUGCAUGUAAACUUGGCCGACAAGAGGCACUUGGAUCUAGAGAGACUGGCAACAUAUAGCAGAACUUCAGCAUAGCCUAGAGCUCUGUUACAGAAAUUAUGAGCUGGGAGAAGAGACAAUGGUGAGCUGAUGGAAGUCAGAGCAGCCAGGUUAAUUAAUUAGGACUCUCAAUAAACACUAGAACAAAAAUAAAGAAGACAGUAAUCCGCUAGAACAAAAUGGAAACCAAGGAGUCACUACCCACCCAUAGACCCAAUAACAAUAGAUGACAAUUUUUGAUAAGAAAAUUAGAAGCAGGAGAGAAAUUAGCAUUUUAUGAAAGAGGUUGUAGUCAGUUGGACAGAUGGAUGUUUAAUACUUGAAUCCUCUAUUUACACAUGCUAGUGUAUCUUCCUCUCUGGAUCUGUUUCCAUAUAAGGGAUAUAAUAAUUAUUAUUUCAUACAGACAUUUUGUUGUGUUGUUGAUACAUUUGUGUGAGGUACAUGAAUAAUGUAUCUAAG
This 787-nucleotide long non-coding RNA is filed under the name Homo sapiens (human). RNAcentral describes it as "long non-coding RNA NONHSAT013207.2". Lineage: Eukaryota; Metazoa; Chordata; Mammalia; Primates; Hominidae. The record is from RNAcentral.